CAGCUUUUCUCUUUCUUUCCCUCAUCACGGCGGCCCACAGGUGUGCUCAUCCCACAGGAGACUCUGCACCUCCAUGCAGGGACCACCUUCCCACCCACCCCGCCUGGAGGGAGGGAGGCCGGCCCUCCCCUCCCCUUGAGGUAAGGGAAGCGGCACAGUAACGUCUCCAAGGAGCCCGGGCAACAGCGGGGGCUGGACGACUGAGGCGGCGGGAGCCCAGGGUGACAAAAACAGAAAUGCUGAAACAAGUAAAACAUCUCAGAACAAUUCCAAUGCUGAUGCAGACUGACCUUCCCAAAGAGGAAUUGGGAACCCACGGAUGGCUGGAGUAGAUGGAAGUUGG
Lacerta agilis (Sand lizard) is the source of this 343-nucleotide long non-coding RNA. RefSeq lists it as uncharacterized. The record is from RefSeq and is a predicted model, not a curated record. The transcript has 3 exons. Lineage: Eukaryota; Metazoa; Chordata; Lepidosauria; Squamata; Lacertidae.